UACGUAGGGUGCAAGCGUUUGUCCGGAAUUAUUGGGCGUAAAGAGCUCGUAGGCGGUUUGUCGCGUCUGCUGUGAAAACGCGAGGCUCAACCUCGCGCCUGCAGUGGGUACGGGCAGACUAGAGUGCGGUAGGGGAGAUUGGAAUUCCUGGUGUAGCGGUGGAAUGCGCAGAUAUCAGGAGGAACACCGAUGGCGAAGGCAGAUCUCUGGGCCGUAACUGACGCUGAGGAGCGAAAGCGUGGGGGAGCGAACAGG
RNAcentral lists this ribosomal RNA (255 nucleotides) under uncultured bacterium. RNAcentral's name for it is "partial 16S ribosomal RNA". It matches the Rfam family "Bacterial small subunit ribosomal RNA", at positions 524 to 776 of the family's 1533-position model. The record is from RNAcentral.